Molecule: long non-coding RNA, 2915 nt
Organism: Saccostrea cuccullata (small rock oyster)
Lineage: Eukaryota; Metazoa; Mollusca; Bivalvia; Ostreida; Ostreidae
Exons: 3
Source: RefSeq, a predicted model, not a curated record
UAUGCAUCUCUCUCUCUCUCUCUCUCUCUCUCUCUCUCUCUCUUUCUCUCUCUCUCAAACAAAACAGCAUGGUAACUUAUCAGUUUUUGGAAUAUGCAAUAGUUAAGAUUAAAGGCCAAAGUUUUCAACCGGUAGGUUUUCCUCAGGUAAGUUUGGUGUGGGGUGGAGCUUAAUCGAAGCGGCUGAGAAGCCCCCAGGGAACGACACUGGCUUGUGUAAAGCUACCUAUAUACACAGGGUGUUUCCUGAGUGUAUUACCUGUAUGCGUUUUCCUACUAAAUUGCAAAAACGAAGCUGUUUUUUCAAUGUGUAGGUCAAUUGAAAUACAUGAAAUAAAGCAUGUUUUUGUUGCGGACAGAAUCCUUCUCAAUUUCUUAAAAUUAACAUUCUUAGUCAUUCCGCAAUUUCAAUAUACUGUGUUUGUUAAUCAAAUGUUAUCACGAAUAUUGCACUAAAAUCGGUCGUUGUAAUAUGGCGGUCGUGUACUCAAAACAAAAAAAGAAAUCGGGUCAUAAAUCUCUCGGUGAAUAACAAUUAAACUUAUAAACGAUGUUGAAGAUAAACUAUUAAGAAAUAUAAUAGUCUAAAUAAAUUUUAUUAAAGAUAAAUCCUUCGUGAUUUUUCCAUAACGCAUGGACUGUAAAAAUCACCAGGGCUUCGGACCUAGGAUUUUCCCCCGACCGCUUUGUAUAUGUGAAACGUGAAUGGAAUCACCUGAAGCGUACUUUUUUCUUUCGGGAUUCAUAAUUUCAAAUACUAAAUGCAAAGCAAAAUGUUAUAAUUCGACUAAUAUUUACCUCCACUGAAUAUUUUCUCCUUUAUUUCUUAAGAAAACCCAUUGCGUUAAUCACUGUAUGAACUACAUUAGGCAUGUCGCCUGUACAGAUUCUUGAUCAGUGGCUGUUCCAUCAAUGAAACGUAUAAAGACGUUCGCAUCAUUAAUACAAUAAUUAAACUUUUUAAUCCUUCUUUAAAUGAUUAUUUAAACAGAUAUAAAUAUAAACAAUAAAAUGUCUUUCUUUGUUUGUUAUUACUGGAAUUAACGGUCGCAGCUAUUGCAGAAAAAGUUUACAGUGUACAUAACCCGCUUACGCGGGUUACGUAUUUUUUCUGCAACAGCUGCUUCCGUUAAUUCCAGUAAUAACAAACAAAGAAAGCAUUUUAUUGUUUAUAUAUCUCUUCUAAAACUGGUGUUACACCGUAUAUCCGGUUUUUUCGCGUGUUGGAAAUUUUUCGAAAAAGGGGUAAAUUAGUACAUCUGUUAUUUUGCGAAAGUUAUUUUUUACGAUUAUUUAAAGAUUUUUUUUCGUUUAAAAUGGUAAUGUUUUAUGUCACAUUUUAGCUGAUAUAAUUUCUGCGUGUUUUAUAUUUUGGGAAUUAAAAAUGGUCGCAAAAAAUGCGAAAAAUAGAUCAUCGCGAAAAAAAAACGGAUCUACGGUAAUACCGUAACUUCAUCACCAUGUCUCGAAGAAAAGCGAAACGUACAGGUUUGUGUUAAAGUUAAAAAUAAAUAUAAAUUUUCACUUGACUCCUGAACAAUGUUGUCAUACUUGUUUUAAAGAAAUAAUUUUAUUUCUUUCCAUGAUACUUCAAACUCGCGUCGGUUUAUUUUGCUAGGUAUGGUGGAAUAAAUGUACGUAAUCUCAUGUUUUGACAAUUAAAUUUAAAAUUAUCGAUUGUAAUAGUGAAAUGCCCCCCCCCCCCCUUUCUAAAAUUAAUAUAAUAAUAUAUAAACAUGAUUUUCUUAUUUAAUCAUUUGACAGAUUGAUUACAUUUAGAGCAUAUUCUCGUGAAUUAAAAAAGAACGUUUUGGUUGUUUAUUUAUCACGUUGGCAUAUGCGGUUAGGCAUCAAAGGCCCAAAUGUUAAUUCGAUAGUCGGUACGAUCCCCAGACAAGGUACACAGGAUAUACACAACGACAAAAAACUAAAUGUCAAUCAAAUCCAAGUAUCCAAUCCCAGGCUUAAUAUUUUAGCGUUUUUUUUAAAAUGUUGGGUGUAAUUGCCGUCAUGGUGGUUCUAUGGCGCCUUGGACGUUUAACUGUGGUCAGAGAAGACAUUCAACGCAGGGUAACAGUGGUCAGAAAGAACAUCGCAAAUAGAUUAACAGACAAUAAUCCUGGCUAUGAUUGUGAUGAAGUAUACGUAUAUGGCCAAAUGGAUUUCAAUAAAACGGACAAUUGGAUAUUAUCGAGUUUCGAAAUUGUUAAUGAGUGGAAGAUUUGCAGACAUCUAUAAAGCCAGAUACCACCACAAAAUAUCAUGUCUAAACAAAUAAUCGUAGCAAAGACUUUGAAAAUUGGUCCAUUCAUGGUUCUAGAAUACUAGGAGAGGAGACAACUUCGAGAUUGGUUGUUACAAAAGAAAAAUGCCUGGGCAGAAGACACAGAGGAACAACUACAUCGUAUUGUCUACGGAAUAUCUAAGGGAAUGGCAUUCCUGGAAUCGAAGAGGGAUCUGUCUUUUUUUAAAAUAAUACUUUAUUCAAUGAAAACAUGAUAACAAGAUAACGUGGGGCAAUGACAUCCGCAGAUGUCCCCCUAUAAUAACCCUCACCAGGGGUGCCAGGGGUUCCCUAGAUUGGAUAGCAAAAUAUAUGUGUUUGAAAAAUGAUUAAACAAUAUUUAAAUCAACAGUGUAUAUAAUAAAAUUGUAUAUUGACAAAAUAUUUAUACAGAUAGAUAAUGAUAGGUUCUGUUUUGAUUGGUGGCCUUUCAUAUACAUGUAUAUAAAUUAUAAACUUAAAAUUAGUAGACCACUAAGUCAGUUAUUUUUACAUAUUUUAGCUUGUGCACAAAAGACUUGCUCCACGAAAUAUUCUGUUGACUGGAGAUCUGUAGCCUAAGAUCUAUGGAUUCGGACCUGAACCACCGCAACAACAGGGCAACGAGGAAGAAAAGGAUGCCACAUCUGACG